GGCGAUCAGAUACCGCCCUAGUUCUGACCGUAAACGAUGCCAACUAGCGAUCCGCCAGUCGAUUCAUCGCUCUGGUGGGGAGCUUCCCGGAAACGAAAGUCUUCCGGUUCCUGGGGAAGUAUGGUUGCAAAGCUGAAACUUAAAGGAAUUGACGGAAGGGCACCACCAGGAGUGGAGCCUGCGGCUUAAUUUGACUCAACACGGGGAAACUCACCCGGCCCGGACACCGUAAGGAUUGACAGAUUGAUAGCUUUUUCAUGAUUCGGUGGAUGGUGGUGCAUGGCCGUUCUUAGUUCGUGGAGCGAUUUGUCUGGUUUAUUCCGAUAACGAGCGAGACUCUGGCCUACUAAAUAGUUGGCACAUUGCCACUGUGUGCACAACUUCUUAGAGGGAUUUUCGGUGUUCAGCCGCACGAAAUUGAGCAAUAACAGGUCUGUGAUGCCCUUAGAUGUCCGGGGCUGCACGCGCGCUACACUGGCAAAAUCAGCGUGCUUGUCCUCCCCCGAAAGGGGUUGGUAAACCGAUGAAAAUUUGCCGUGAUUGAGAUCGGACAUUGCAAUUAUUGUCCGUGAACGAGGAAUCCCUUGUAAGGGCGAGUCAUCAACUCGUCCUGAAUACGUCCCUGCCCUUUGUA
This 634-nucleotide ribosomal RNA is filed under the name Rotylenchulus reniformis. Its description in RNAcentral is "SSU rRNA". It matches the Rfam family "Eukaryotic small subunit ribosomal RNA", at positions 1003 to 1664 of the family's 1831-position model. Lineage: Eukaryota; Metazoa; Nematoda; Chromadorea; Rhabditida; Hoplolaimidae. The record is from RNAcentral.